GAAAUGCGAUAAGUAAUGUGAAUUGCAGAAUUCAGUGAAUCAUCGAAUCUUUGAACGCAUCUUGCGCUCCUUGGUAUUCCGAGGAGCAUGCCUGUUUGAGUGUCAUUUAACUUCUCAACCACAUCAAUUUCUUUGAUCGUGGCUUGGAUGGUGGGGGUGUUUUUUUUGCUGGCUUUGGAAACAAGGUCGGCUCCCCUGAAAUGCAUUAGUGGUAUCUGAGCAGUAACUACUACAGGUGUGAUAAUUUAUCUAUGCCUUUUGUUACCACUGCAUGAACAGAUUACACUGCUUCUGAACUCAUGUUUGACAAAUUUGACCUCAAAUCAGGUAGGACUACCCGCUGAACUUAA
RNAcentral lists this unclassified non-coding RNA (350 nucleotides) under uncultured Inocybe. RNAcentral's name for it is "sequence contains ITS1". The stretch from base 1 to 105 matches the Rfam family "5.8S ribosomal RNA", at positions 50 to 154 of the family's 154-position model. The record is from RNAcentral. Lineage: Eukaryota; Fungi; Basidiomycota; Agaricomycetes; Agaricales; Cortinariaceae.